Molecule: ribosomal RNA, 438 nt
Filed under: uncultured bacterium
Lineage: Bacteria
Description: partial 16S ribosomal RNA
Rfam family: Bacterial small subunit ribosomal RNA
Source: RNAcentral
CUACGGGACGCUGCAGUGAGGAAUAUUGCACAAUGGGGGGAACCCUGAUGCAGCAACGCCGCGUGGAGGAUGACGCAUUUCGGUGUGUAAACUCCUUUUAUAUGUCAAGAAAAUGACGGUAGCAUAUGAAUAAGCACCGGCCAACUCGUGCCAGCAGCCGCGGUAAUACGGAGGGUGCAAGCGUUACUCGGAAUCACUGGGCGUAAAGGACGCGUAGGCGGGUUGGAAAGUCAGGUGUGAAAUCCUACAGCUUAACUGUAGAACUGCACUUGAAACUUCUAAUCUAGAGUAUGGGAGGGGGAGAUGGAAUUAGUGGUGUAGGGGUAAAAUCCGUAGAUAUCACUAGGAAUACCUAAAGCGAAGGCGAUCUCCUGGAACAUUACUGACGCUAAGGCGUGAAAGCGUGGGGAGCAAACAGGAUUAGAUACCCUUGUAGUC